UGGCAGCGACAGAACGUUUCG
RNAcentral lists this unclassified non-coding RNA (21 nucleotides) under Chlamydomonas reinhardtii. Its description in RNAcentral is "small RNA Cre_3292". The record is from RNAcentral. Lineage: Eukaryota; Viridiplantae; Chlorophyta; Chlorophyceae; Chlamydomonadales; Chlamydomonadaceae.